RNAcentral lists this ribosomal RNA (253 nucleotides) under uncultured bacterium. Its description in RNAcentral is "partial 16S ribosomal RNA". It matches the Rfam family "Bacterial small subunit ribosomal RNA", at positions 524 to 776 of the family's 1533-position model. The record is from RNAcentral.
UACAGGGGGGGCAAGCGUUAAUCGGAAUUACUGGGCGUAAAGCGUGCGUAGACGGCUAUCUAAGUCGGGUGUGAAAGCCCCGGGCUCAACCUGGGAAUUGCAUUCGAGACUGAAUAGCUAGGGUACGGUAGAGGGAAGCGGAAUUCCUGGUGUAGCGGUGAAAUGCGUAGAUAUCAGGAGGAACACCGGUGGCGAAGGCGGGUCUCUGGGACGGUACUGACGCUGAGACGCGAAAGCGUGGGGAGCGAACAGG